AUACACUCCCAGGUCUUUCUCUGCCUUUGUGGUGGAUAAUGGAGUGUUUCCCAUGUGGUAUUGGUGUGCUGGAUAUCCCUUCACUGGUAGCCUGGUAACAUACACUCCCAGGUCUUUCUCUGCCUCUGUGGUGGAUAGUGGAGUGUUUCCCAUGUGGUAUUGGUGUGCUUGAUAUCCCUUCACUGGUAGCCUGGUAACAUACACUCCCAGGUCUUUCUCUGCCUCUGUGGUGGAUAGUGGAGUGUUUCCCAUGUGGUAUUGGUGUGCUGGAUAUCCCUUCACUGGUAGCCUGGUAACAUACACUCCCAGGUCUUUCUCUGCCUCUGUGGUGGAUAGUGGAGUGUUUCCCAUGUGGUAUUGGUGUGCUGGAUAUCCCUUCACUGGUAGCCUGGUAACAUACACUCCCAGGUCUUUCUCUGCCUCUGUGGUGGAUAGUGGAGUGUUUCCCAUGUGGUAUUGGUGUGCUGGAUAUCCUUCACUGGUAGCCUGGUAACAUACACUCCCAGGUCUUUCUCUGCCUCUGUGGUGGAUAGUGGAGUGUUUCCCAUGUGGUAUUGGUGCUGGAUAUCCCUUCACUGGUAGCCUGGUAACAUACACUCCCAGGUCUUUCUCUGCCUCUGUGGUGGAUAGUGGAGUGUUUCCCAUGUGGUAUUGGUGUGCUGGAUAUCCCUUCACUGGUAGCCUGGUAACAUACACUCCCAGGUCUUUCUCUGCCUCUGUGGUGGAUAGUGGAGUGUUUCCCAUGUGGUAUUGGUGUGCUGGAUAUCCCUUCACUAGUAGCCUG
Molecule: long non-coding RNA, 784 nt
Organism: Eriocheir sinensis (Chinese mitten crab)
Lineage: Eukaryota; Metazoa; Arthropoda; Malacostraca; Decapoda; Varunidae
Exons: 4
Source: RefSeq, a predicted model, not a curated record